This 416-nucleotide ribosomal RNA is filed under the name uncultured bacterium. RNAcentral describes it as "bacterial SSU rRNA". It matches the Rfam family "Bacterial small subunit ribosomal RNA", at positions 362 to 769 of the family's 1533-position model. The record is from RNAcentral.
UAUUGCGCAAUGGGCGAAAGCCUGACGCAGCAACGCCGCGUGAGUGAUGAAGGCCUUCGGGUCGUAAAGCUCUGUCGGAGGGAACGAAUGCUUUCGGGGUUAACAGCCCCGGAAAGUGACGGUACCCUCAAAGGAAGCACCGGCUAACUCCGUGCCAGCAGCCGCGGUAAUACGGAGGGUGCAAGCGUUAAUCGGAAUUACUGGGCGUAAAGCGCACGUAGGUGGUUUGGUAAGUCGGAUGUGAAAUCCCCGGGCUCAACCUGGGAAUGGCAUUCGAGACUGUCAAGCUAGAGUCUGGUAGAGGGUGGUGGAAUUCCAGGUGUAGCGGUGAAAUGCGUAGAUAUCUGGAGGAACAUCAGUGGCGAAGGCGGCCACCUGGACUGAGACUGACACUGAGGUGCGAAAGCGUGGGUAGC